Acinonyx jubatus (cheetah) is the source of this 2899-nucleotide long non-coding RNA. RefSeq lists it as uncharacterized. The record is from RefSeq and is a predicted model, not a curated record. Lineage: Eukaryota; Metazoa; Chordata; Mammalia; Carnivora; Felidae. The transcript is spliced from 3 exons.
AAUAAAUAAAUGUUAAAAAAAAAAAAAAGUUCGUUUCUGCCCCAAGAUGACUGAUACCCCUGCCUUUUCUUUCCUUACUGAACGCGCUGUACGUCCGCCUGUCACACCUGGGGUUUUCUCUGUCCAAAGUGCACCUGUGCGAAGACUUGAUUUUUUUCCCCACCUGGUGAGUCAGUUUUCCAAGUGCAUCCGUGGAAAUGCACAUCUUCUCUGCAGCGCGAAAGCUGGCCUGGGCCGGGCCUCUCUGAGCCUGUUUCCGGACGUGCUGUCUCUCAAACCCAACUUGUCCCCAGCACAGCUCUCCUUCCGUCCGGCUGUCUCGCUCCCACAGGGACGCAGCUCCCGGGAAAGUCUGGUGAGUUCUUGCUUAGGCCGACUCUGGGUCUCCCAGGACGUUCUGCUGCCGGUGUGAGCAGCAUCAUAUGCUCUCUACUACUUUUUCUCACUGAUUCCUGCUGGUCCGUGUGUGAGUUGGUCUCUUUUUAAAAAAUGUUUUUUCUAAUUUUUUUUAUUUUUGAGAAAGAGAGAGAAAGACCGAGCAUGAACGGGGGAGGGACAGAGAGAGAGGGAGACACAGAAUCCGAAGCAGGCUCCAGGCUCCGAGCUGUCAGCACAGAGCCCGACACGAGGCUCAAACUCACAAAUGGCGAGAUCAUGACCUGAGCCGGAGUCGAAUGCUCAACCGACCGAGCCCCCCAGGUGCCCCAAGAAUUUUAUUUAUUUUUAAAAAUUUUUUAAUGGUUUUUUUUUUCUUUUGAGAGAGAGUGAGAGAGAGAGAGACAGAGCACAGGUUGGGGCGGGGCAGAGAGAGAAGGAGACACAGAAUCCGAAGCAGGCUCCAGGCUCCGAGCUGUGAGCACAGAGCCCAACGCGGGACUUGAACCCACGAACCGUGAGAUCGUGACCUGAGCCAAAGUCGGCCACUCAACCGACUGAGCCCCCCAGGUGUCCCAGGAGGCAGGACCGCCCAGGGCCAACUACCAGCGGCGGGCGCGAGUGUCCCUGAUCACGGGGAGGACACCCCCAAACCCCGUCACAGGGACCCUGCUGGCGGUAUUGUAAAGACCGCCUUCAUCAGGCUGAGAAAGCUUCUUGUGCUCUGGUCUUCGGAGUCUCUAGAAAGACGGAUGAUUAACUAGGAUCUGCAUCGCCUCGCGGAAUUAUCGCCCAUCUCUCGUGGUGACGACAAUCAGCGCCCCGUCUCUUAGCAGCUGUGAAGCGUGGGAUGCAGUGCUGACGGUAAUCGCCGUGCUGUGCACAUUGUACCUCUUUCUGAGGCGCGUCGAGGUACCUCGCGACUCUCAGCUCACUUGCCCCUGAAUUCUCCAGCACGACAUUCUGCCUGGUCCUUGUCGUUUCCCUUUUGAGAUGAAAUGUACGUACAACGCCCUUGCCGAACGCACACGCCUGUGUGGCCCAAACCCCGACGGCGGUGCAGGACGGUCACCCCGGGGAGCUUCCUCGUGCUGCUCCCCAGCCCCCCGCCUCCCCAGAGGUCAGCGUAGCUCUGAUUUUCUUCCCCACCGUGAGCUGGCUUUGCCUGUGCUAGAGGCUCGCGGAAACUGAACACAGCGCGUACCCUCUGCGUCUGGCUUCUUUCAAAGAGAAGUCGGGUGUUGGGAUUGGCUGUGGUGUUGAGCGGCUGGCGGUCCGUCUGGUGUUAUUACCGAGUAAUAUUCCGUCCAGCCUGCUAAAUCCAUCCUCCCGCUAAGGGACUCGUGGGAUGUUGCCACUUCUGGGAUGUUACGGAUCGAAUUCUCAUACAAGCCAUUUUGUGGACAUGUGUUUUCACUUGUCUUGGGUAAACAACUUGAGGCGGGCUCCUGGGUCGGGGGGCAACUGCGUGUUUCGAUGUAUAAGCUACGGCCAGAUCUCUACCACGCAUGCCCCGUCACCACCGCUCUGGGUAGUUCCACGUUCUUGUCAAAUUUGAAGUUACCGUCUUUUCAACUUCAGCCGUUCUGGUGAGUGUGUACUUUUUAAAUUAUCAUUCUAGAGGGACACAGAGACAGCGUGAGUGGGGGAGAGGUGCAGAGAGAGAGGGAGAGAGAGAGAAUCCCAGGCAGGCUCUGCACUGUCAGUGUGGAGCUCGACUCGGGGCUCGAACCCAUGAACCCGCGAGAUCAUGAUCUGAGCUGAAACCAAGAGUCAGAUGCUCAAUCACCAAUCCCCCGCCCCAGGCGCCCCGUGAAUGUGUAUUCUAAAACAUGCUGUGGGAUCCCGUUAGUUAAUAUUUCAUUCGAGAUUCUCCUACCUGUGUUAUAAGGAACAUUGACCUCGUUUUUAAGGAACAAGCCCUUAUCCAGCUUUGGAACAAGAAGGACACCAGUGUCUUGAAAUGAAACAUAAUGUUUUGCCUCUAUUAUUAUUUUCUGGAAAAGCUUGCUUAAGAUACGGACUUUCUGUCCCGGAGAGGGGCUGUAAACUGCUUUGGCAUAAGGCUCUUCUCCUGAGAAAGCUGCAAAAACCCCGUUUCCCAUUUUACAUCUAUUUGCGCUUUUAUUGUUUCUUGGGCCAGGCUUGGCACUUUGUAUUUUCCCAGAAAUAUGCCCAUUUUAUCUCAAAGUCUUCCUUAAAUACCUUUUUCUCAUACCUCAGCUGGGCAUAAAGAGAGACCUGGGGGCCCGCGGGGCAGAGGAUCAGAGGGCUGCUCCCGGAGGCCAGAGUGGUGCAGCGAAGGGCGGGAGGCUUCCUGGAGGAGGUGAGUCCUGGCUUGGGCUCUGAGCUCCAGGAUCAGCCACCCUCCAGACACUACUCCCUCUUCCCAACCUUGGAGGACCUGAUGUGACGUCCGAAGGGCUGAGCUUCCCCUCCGGGGAAGCCGGAAGGACGUCUGCACUUAGAAGCUCUGGGUCUGUAGGGACUUUUGGAGGCUCCUCAGGGCCCUCCCCUGGGGAAU